Molecule: ribosomal RNA, 492 nt
Filed under: uncultured bacterium
Lineage: Bacteria
Description: bacterial SSU rRNA
Rfam family: Bacterial small subunit ribosomal RNA
Source: RNAcentral
ACUCAAAUGAAUUGACGGGGGCCCGCACAAGCAGUGGAGUAUGUGGUUUAAUUCGAAGCAACGCGAAGAACCUUACCAGGUCUUGACAUCCCAAGAACCGCCUUGAAAGAGGCGGGUGCCUUCGGGAGCUUGGAGACAGGUGGUGCAUGGUUGUCGUCAGCUCGUGUCGUGAGAUGUUGGGUUAAGUCCCGCAACGAGCGCAACCCCUACUAUUAGUUGCUACGCAAGAGCACUCUAAUGGGACUGCCGUUGACAAAACGGAGGAAGGUGGGGAUGACGUCAAAUCAUCAUGCCCUUUAUGACCUGGGCUACACACGUACUACAAUGGCAAUAAACAACGGGAAGCGAAGCGGCGACGCGGAGCGAAACCCCAAAAGUUGCCUCAGUUCGGAUUGCAGGCUGCAACUCGCCUGCAUGAAGUCGGAAUUGCUAGUAAUCGCGGAUCAUCAUGCCGCGGUGAAUACGUUCCCGGGCCUUGUACACACCGCCCGU